UACGAGGGGAGCAAGCGUUGUUCGGAUUUACUGGGCGUAAAGGGCGCGUAGGCGGCCACGACAAGUCACUUGUGAAAUCUCCGGGCUUAACCCGGAAAGGUCAAGUGAUACUGUCGGGCUAGAGUGCAGAAGGGGCAACUGGAAUUCUCGGUGUAGCGGUGAAAUGCGUAGGUAUCGAGAGGAACACCUGCGGCGAAGGCGGGUUGCUGGGCUGACACUGACGCUGAGGCGCGAAAGCCAGGGGAGCGAACGGG
Molecule: ribosomal RNA, 254 nt
Filed under: uncultured bacterium
Lineage: Bacteria
Description: partial 16S ribosomal RNA
Rfam family: Bacterial small subunit ribosomal RNA
Source: RNAcentral